RNAcentral lists this ribosomal RNA (1904 nucleotides) under Hartmannella cantabrigiensis. RNAcentral's name for it is "SSU rRNA". It matches the Rfam family "Eukaryotic small subunit ribosomal RNA". The record is from RNAcentral. Lineage: Eukaryota; Tubulinea; Elardia; Euamoebida; Hartmannellidae.
ACCUGGUUGAUCCUGCCAGUAAUCAUAUGCUUGUCUCAAAGAUUAAGCCAUGCAUGUCUAAGUAUAAGUGUUUAUACGGCGAAACUGCGAAUGGCUCAUUAUAUCAGUUAUAAUCUACUUGAUUGAUUCUGUUACUUGGAUAACUGUAGGAAUUCUAGAGCUAAUACAUGCAAAAGGUCUGGAUGGGGGGCAACCUUCGGAAGGACGCGUUUACUAGAAAAGAACCAAUAUGGGGCGCAAGUUCCAUCUAACAGAUGAUUCAUAGUAAGACUUCACGCGAAUCGGAGGCUUAAGUCUCCGAUGAUGCAAACGAGUUUCUGCCCUAUCAACUUUCAACCGUAGUGUAGGGGACUACGGUGGUUGUAACGGGUACGGGGAAUUAGGGUUCGAUUCCGGAGAGGCCGCCUGAGAAACGGCGACCACUUCCAAGGAAGGCAGCAGGCGCGUAAAUUAUCCAAUCCCGAUUCGGGGAGAUAGUGACAAGAAAUACCGGUGUAGUGACCUACAUGGUUCUACGAUCGGAAUGAGUACAAUUCAAAAACAUUAGCGAGUAACAAUUGGAGGGCAAGUCUGGUGCCAGCAGCCGCGGUAAUUCCAGCUCCAAUAGUGUAUAUUAAAGUUGUUGCGGUUAAAAAGCUCGUAGUUGGACUUUGGGGUCGAGCGUUACAGACCCUCUCGGUUCUGCCGGGGGGAAUCAGUCUGGAUGUUUCUUCCUCUUUCUCGGAACGUUAACAGGGGUUCAUGGUUCGCCAUGUUCUCUUGGUUUCGCAGGAUUUACUUUGAAUAAAUUAGGGUGUUCAAAGCAGGCGCAACUCGCCUUGAAUACAUUAGCAUGGGAUAAUAGAAUAUGACCUUUGGUCUACUUAUUGGUUUCUAAGGCCAAGGUAAUGAUUAAUAGGGAUAGUUGAGGUCGCUCGUAUUCAAUGGUCAGAGGUGAAAUUCUAAGACCCAUUGAGGACGAACAAAUGCGAAGGCAUUCGACAAGGAUGUUUUCAUUAAUCAAGAACGAAAGUUGUGGGAUCGAAGAUGAUUAGAUACCGUCGUAGUCACAACCGUAAACUAUGUCGACUCAGGAUCCGGGGAUGUUACAUGGAUGACUCUCCGGGCACUGUGUGCGAAAGCAUAAGUAUUCUGACUCCGGGGGGAGUAUGGUCGCAAGGCUGAAACUUAAAGGAAUUGACGGAAGGGCACCACCAGGAGUGGAACCUGCGGCUUAAUUUGACUCAACACGGGGAAACUUACCCAGUCCGGACACAACGAGGAUUGACAGAUUGAUAGCUCUUUCUUGAUUUUGUGGAAGCCGGUGCAUGGCCGUUUUUAGUUGGUGGAGUGAUUUGUCUGGUUUAGUCCGAUAACGAACGAGACCAUAAUCUGCUAAAUAGUGUCGUUAACAAGGAGACUUACGGGGCGGUCGGGUUUACUCGGCAGUUUCGUGGGUUUCCACUAAAUUGUUGGCGAAAGAUUUACUUCUUAGAGAGACUCUUGAUGAUGCAAAAAUCAAUGGAAGAAUAUGGCAAAAACAGGUCUGUGAUGCCGCUCGAUGUCUGGGGCUGCACGCGCGUUACACUGAGAUGUUCAACAAGUAUUAUUCAUGACCUGGCCCGAAGGGGUUCAGGUAAUCUCGAAAGCAUUUCGUGAUGGGGAUUGUGCCUUGAAACUAUUGCACAUGAACGAGGAAUUCCUAGUAAGGGUAGGUCAUCAACCUGCCCUGAUUACGUCCCUGCCCUUUGUACACACCGCCCGUCGCUUCUACCGAUCGAAUUGCUCGAUGAGGACUCGGGAUGAGGGGGUAACUCGUAGGCUGAAAGGUCUGCGCGUCCUCUUCAGAACCUGUUCGAAUCUCGUAAUUUAGAGGAAGAAGAAGUCGUAACAAGGUCUCCGUAGGUGAACCUGCAGAAGGAUCA